This 128-nucleotide ribosomal RNA is filed under the name Eupalaestrus weijenberghii. Its description in RNAcentral is "Eupalaestrus weijenberghi partial 16S ribosomal RNA". The record is from RNAcentral. Lineage: Eukaryota; Metazoa; Arthropoda; Arachnida; Araneae; Theraphosidae.
AAGAGCAGAAAGUCUGUUCGACUUUUAAAAAUUUACAUGAUUUGAGUUCAGACCGGCGCAAGCCAGGUCGGUUUCUAUCUUCUUUACAAAGAUUUCAGUACGAAAGGACAAAACCUUUAGUAUUUUAC